RNAcentral lists this ribosomal RNA (363 nucleotides) under uncultured beta proteobacterium. RNAcentral describes it as "bacterial SSU rRNA". It matches the Rfam family "Bacterial small subunit ribosomal RNA", at positions 294 to 649 of the family's 1533-position model. Lineage: Bacteria; Pseudomonadati; Pseudomonadota; Betaproteobacteria. The record is from RNAcentral.
GAGAGGACGACCAGCCCCACUGGGACUGAGACACGGCCCAGACUCCUACGGGAGGCAGCAGUGGGGAAUUUUGGACAAUGGGGGAAACCCUGAUCCAGCCAUGCCGCGUGAGUGAAGAAGGCCUUCGGGUUGUAAAGCUCUUUCAGCCGGAACGAAACAGUCACGGAUAAUACCCGUGACUACUGACGGUACCGGAAGAAGAAGCACCGGCUAACUACGUGCCAGCAGCCGCGGUAUUUUUUAUGGUGCGAGCGUUAAUCGGAAUUACUGGGCGUAAAGCGUGCGCAGGCGGUUUUGUAAGUCAGAUGUGAAAUCCCCGGGCUUAACCUGGGAACUGCGUUUGAAACUACAAGGCUAGAAGGG